UAUUCUCGGGGUUUUAGGAACUAAGUAUUUUUUUGCUUUGGGAUGUAUAAAAAUAUUGACUGAAGUCAGCUGACAAUUUGAAAACAUCAUAGAAGCUUGUGGGAAAGUGACCUGACAGUCUAUGGCUUAUCUGGAAAAAUCAAAGACUAAACACAGACAGAGCAUCACAUCAUUUCAACCAGGACCACAGCCUAAGCUGCAAGAAGACAAUGG
This 213-nucleotide long non-coding RNA is filed under the name Lepidothrix coronata (blue-crowned manakin). RNAcentral describes it as "lncRNA (ENSLCOG00000002686.1)". Lineage: Eukaryota; Metazoa; Chordata; Aves; Passeriformes; Pipridae. The record is from RNAcentral.